RNAcentral lists this ribosomal RNA (3161 nucleotides) under Sphaerisporangium album. RNAcentral's name for it is "bacterial LSU rRNA". It matches the Rfam family "Bacterial large subunit ribosomal RNA". The record is from RNAcentral. Lineage: Bacteria; Bacillati; Actinomycetota; Actinomycetes; Streptosporangiales; Streptosporangiaceae.
AGUGGACGCGAGCAUCUUUGUGGCCAAGUUUUUUAGGGCACACGGUGGAUGCCUUGGCAUCAGGAGCCGAUGAAGGACGUGGGAGGCUGCGUUAAGCCUCGGGGAGUCGCCAACCAGACGUUGAUCCGGGGAUGUCCGAAUGGGGAAACCUGGCACCAGUCAUGUGGUGUCGCCGCCGUCUGAAUGUAUAGGGCGGUUGGUGGUAACGCGGGGAAGUGAAACAUCUCAGUACCCGUAGGAAGAGAAAACAAAAUGUGAUUCCGUGAGUAGUGGUGAGCGAAAGCGGAUGAGGCUAAACCAUGCGCGUGUGAUAGUCGGCGGGCGUUGCGUGUGUGGGGUUGUGGGACCUUCUUGUGGUUUCUGCCGGAGCCAUGGACAGUGAUAAAUCGGUGGGGUAGUCGAAGCCUCUGGGAAGGGGCGCCGUAGACCGUGAGAGCCGGGUAGGCGAAAUUCUGCCGACUGUUUGAGGGGAUCCCAAGUAGCACGGGGCCCGAGAAAUCCUGUGUGAAUCUGCCAGGACCACCUGGUAAGCCUGAAUACUCCCUGGUGACCGAUAGUGCACGAGUACCGUGAGGGAAAGGUGAAAAGCACCCCGGUGAGGGGUCGUGAAAUAGUACCUGAAACCGUGUGCCUACAAGCCGUAGGAGCGUAGGCGGAGCUUGCUUCGUCUGUGAUGUGACUGCGUGCCUUUUGAAGAAUGAGCCUGCGAGUCAUGGUGUGUGGCGAGGUUAACCCGUGUGGGGGAGCCGUAGCGAAAGCGAGUCUGAAUAGGGCGUUUGAGUCGCAUGCUGUGGACCCGAAGCGGGGUGAUCUACGCAUGGGCAGGUUGAAGCGCGGGUAAGACCGUGUGGAGGACCGAACCCACCAGGGUUGAAAACCUGGGGGAUGACCUGUGUGUAGGGGUGAAAGGCCAAUCAAACUCCGUGAUAGCUGGUUCUCCCCGAAAUGCAUUUAGGUGCAGCGUUGCGUGUUUCUUGCCGGAGGUAGAGCACUGGAUGGCUGAUGGGCCUUACCGGGUUACUGACGUCAGCCAAACUCCGAAUGCCGGUAAGUGAGAGCGUGGCAGUGAGACUGCGGGGGAUAAGCUCCGUGGUCGAGAGGGAAACAGCCCAGACCACCGACUAAGGCCCCUAAGCGUGUGCUAAGUGGGAAAGGAUGUGGAGUCGCAGUGACAACCAGGAGGUUGGCUUAGAAGCAGCCAUCCUUGAAAGAGUGCGUAAUAGCUCACUGGUCAAGUGAUUCCGCGCCGACAAUGUAGCGGGGCUUAAGUACGCCGCCGAAGUCGUGGCACUCACAUAUUAAGCUCGGCGCCUUUGCGGGCGUCCAGGUGUGUGGGUGGGUAGGGGAGCGUCGUACAGGCGGUGAAGCAGCCGGGUGACCGAGUUGUGGAGGCUGUGCGAGUGAGAAUGCAGGCAUGAGUAGCGAAUCAGAAGUGAGAAACUUCUGCGCCGGAUGACCAAGGGUUCCUGGGCUAGGUUAAUCCGCCCAGGGUAAGUCGGGACCUAAGGCGAGGCCGACAGGCGUAGUCGAUGGACAACGGGUUGAUAUUCCCGUACCCGCGGGCGCGCGCCCAUAUCGAAUCCAGUGAUACUAAGGGUCCUUAGCCCCUCAGGUUCUUCGGAGUCUGGGUGAGGGUGAACGCCUGGCCUGAUCUGGUAGUAGGUAAGCGAUGGGGUGACGCAGGAGGGUAGCCCAUCCCAGGCGAUGGUUGUUCCUGGGGUAAGCAUGUAGGGAGUGGCAUAGGUAAAUCCGUGCCGCGUGAAUCCUGAGAUGUGAUGCCGAGCCGAUUGUGGUGAAGUGGGUGAUCCCAUGCUGCCGAGAAAAGCCUCUAGUGAGUGUGCCGGCGGCCCGUACCCUAAACCGACUCAGGUGGUCAGGUAGAGAAUACCGAGGCGAUCGGGUGAACUGUGGUUAAGGAACUCGGCAAAUUGCCCCCGUAACUUCGGGAGAAGGGGGGCCUCUGCUGGUGAUGGGUCUUUGCGCCUGGAGCUGGUGGGGGUCGCAGUGGCCAGGGGGAAGCGACUGUUUACUAAAAACACAGGUCCGUGCGAAGUCGUAAGACGAUGUAUACGGACUGACGCCUGCCCGGUGCCGGAACGUUAAGGGGACCGCUCAGCUCAUUUCGGUGGGCGAAGGUGAGAACUUAAGCGCCGGUAAACGGCGGUGGUAACUAUAACCAUCCUAAGGUAGCGAAAUUCCUUGUCGGGUAAGUUCCGACCUGCACGAAUGGCGUAACGACUUCCCCGCUGUCUCAACCACAGACCCGGCGAAAUUGCACUACGAGUAAAGAUGCUCGUUACGCGCAGCAGGACGGAAAGACCCCGGGACCUUCACUACAGCUUGACAUUGGUGUUUGGGACGGCUUGUGUAGGAUAGGUGGGAGACGGUGAAGCUGGGACGCUAGUUCUGGUGGAGUCAUUGGUGAAAUACCACUCUGGUCGUUUUGGAUGUCUAACCCGCGCCCGUGGAUCCGGGUGGGGGACAGUGUCUGGUGGGUAGUUUAACUGGGGCGGUUGCCUCCUAAAGGGUAACGGAGGCGCCCAAAGGUUCCCUCAGCCUGGUUGGCAAUCAGGUGGUGAGUGUAAGUGCACAAGGGGGCUUGACUGUGAGACCGACGGGUCGAGCAGGAGCGAAAGCUGGGACUAGUGAUCCGGCGGUGGCUUGUGGAAGCGCCGUCGCUCAACGGCUAAAAGGUACCCCGGGGAUAACAGGCUGAUCUUCCCCAAGAGUCCAUAUCGACGGGAUGGUUUGGCACCUCGAUGUCGGCUCGUCGCAUCCUGGGGCUGGAGUAGGUCCCAAGGGUUGGGCUGUUCGCCCAUUAAAGCGGUACGCGAGCUGGGUUUAGAACGUCGCGAGACAGUUCGGUCCCUAUCCGCUGCGCGCGCAGGAGACUUGAAGGGGGCUGUCCCUAGUACGAGAGGACCGGGACGGACGAACCUCUGGUGUGCCAGUUGUUCUGCCAAGGGCAUGGCUGGUUGGCUACGUUCGGGAGGGAUAACCGCUGAAAGCAUCUAAGCGGGAAGCCCGCCUUGAGAUGAGGUCUCCCACCCCCGUUAAGGGGGGUAAGGCUCCCAGGUGAUGACUGGGUUGAUAGGCCGGGUGUGGAAGCAUCGUAAGGUGUGGAGCUGACCGGUACUAAUAGGCCGAGGACUUGACCACAG